GACGAACGCUGGCGGCGUGCUUAACACAUGCAAGUCGAACGGUGAACCUCUUCGGAGGGGAUCAGUGGCGAACGGGUGAGUAACACGUGGGCAACCUGCCCCCGGCUCUGGGAUAACUCCAAGAAAUUGGGGCUAAUACCGGAUGUUCACCGCUUCCCGCAUGGGUGGUGGUGGAAAGGGUUUCCGGCUGGGGAUGGGCCCGCGGCCUAUCAGCUUGUUGGUGGGGUAGUGGCCUACCAAGGCGACGACGGGUAGCCGACCUGAGAGGGUGACCGGCCACACUGGGACUGAGACACGGCCCAGACUCCUACGGGAGGCAGCAGUGGGGAAUAUUGCGCAAUGGGCGGAAGCCUGACGCAGCGACGCCGCGUGGGGGAUGACGGCCUUCGGGUUGUAAACCUCUUUCAGCAGGGACGAAGCGCAAGUGACGGUACCUGCAGAAGAAGCACCGGCCAACUACGUG
Molecule: ribosomal RNA, 463 nt
Filed under: uncultured bacterium
Lineage: Bacteria
Description: partial 16S ribosomal RNA
Rfam family: Bacterial small subunit ribosomal RNA
Source: RNAcentral